Molecule: ribosomal RNA, 482 nt
Filed under: uncultured bacterium
Lineage: Bacteria
Description: partial 16S ribosomal RNA
Rfam family: Bacterial small subunit ribosomal RNA
Source: RNAcentral
GACGAACGCUGGCGGCGUGCUUAACACAUGCAAGUCGAACGCUGAAGCUCAGCUUGCUGGGUGGAUGAGUGGCGAACGGGUGAGUAACACGUGAGUAACCUGCCCUCUUCUUUGGGAUAACGCCCGGAAACGGGUGCUAAUACUGGAUAUUCACUGAUUCUCGCAUGGGGGUUGGUGGAAAGGUUUUUUCUGGUGGGGGAUGGGCUCGCGGCCUAUCAGCUUGUUGGUGGGGUGAUGGCCUACCAAGGCUUUGACGGGUAGCCGGCCUGAGAGGGUGGCCGGUCACAUUGGGACUGAGAUACGGCCCAGACUCCUACGGGAGGCAGCAGUGGGGAAUAUUGCACAAUGGGCGAAAGCCUGAUGCAGCGACGCCGCGUGAGGGAUGGAGGCCUUCGGGUUGUAAACCUCUUUCGCUCAUGGUCAAGCCGCAGCUUGGGGUUGUGGUGAGGGUAGUGGGUAAAGAAGCGCCGGCUAACUACGUG